This 235-nucleotide ribosomal RNA is filed under the name uncultured bacterium. Its description in RNAcentral is "partial 16S ribosomal RNA". It matches the Rfam family "Bacterial small subunit ribosomal RNA", at positions 82 to 334 of the family's 1533-position model. The record is from RNAcentral.
UGGGUUUAGACCCACGGCGAACGGCUGCGUAACACGUUGGUACAUACCCCGAACUCAGGGAUAUCCCUCCGAAAGGAGGAGUAAUACCGGAUGCCCUCGUAAGAGGAAAGAUUUAUCGGUUUGGGAAUGGCCUGCGGCCUAUCAGGUAGUUGGUGAGGUAACGGCUCACCAAGCCUAUGACGGGUAGCUGAUUUGAGAGAAUGAUCAGCCAGAAUGGAACUGAGACACGGUCCAU